GACGAACGCGGGCGGCGUGCUAAUACAUGCAAGUCGAGCGAAGUUUUUCUGGUGCUUGCACCGGAAAAACUUAGCGGCGAACGGGUGAGUAACACGUAAAGAACCUGCCUCAUAGACUGGGACAACUAUUGGAAACGAUAGCUAAUACCGGAUAACAGCAUUAACUGCAUGGUUGAUGUUUAAAAGUUGGUUUUGCUAACACUAUGAGAUGGCUUUGCGGUGCAUUAGCUAGUUGGUGGGGUAAAGGCCUACCAAGGCGACGAUGCAUAGCCGACCUGAGAGGGUGAUCGGCCACACUGGGACUGAGACACGGCCCAGACUCCUACGGGAGGCAGCAGUAGGGAAUCUUCCGCAAUGGGCGAAAGCCUGACGGAGCAACGCCGCGUGAGUGAAGAAGGAUUUCGGUUCGUAAAGCUCUGUUGUUAGGGAAGAAUGAUUGUGUAGUAACUAUACACAGUAGAGACGGUACCUAACCAGAAAGCCACGGCUAACUACGUGCCAGCAGCCGCGGUAAUACGUAGGUGGCAAGCGUUGUCCGGAAUUAUUGGGCGUAAAGCGCGCGCAGGUGGUUUAAUAAGUCUGAUGUGAAAGCCCACGGCUCAACCGUGGAGGGUCAUUGGAAACUGUUAAACUUGAGUGCAGGAGAGAAAAGUGGAAUUCCUAGUGUAGCGGUGAAAUGCGUAGAGAUUAGGAGGAACACCAGUGGCGAAGGCGGCUUUUUGGCCUGUAACUGACACUGAGGCGCGAAAGCGUGGGGAGCAAACAGG
RNAcentral lists this ribosomal RNA (767 nucleotides) under uncultured bacterium. RNAcentral describes it as "bacterial SSU rRNA". It matches the Rfam family "Bacterial small subunit ribosomal RNA", at positions 28 to 776 of the family's 1533-position model. The record is from RNAcentral.